Molecule: ribosomal RNA, 327 nt
Filed under: uncultured eukaryote
Lineage: Eukaryota
Description: partial 18S ribosomal RNA
Rfam family: Eukaryotic small subunit ribosomal RNA
Source: RNAcentral
CCCUUAGAUGUUCUGGGCCGCACGCGCGCUACACUGAUUCAUGCAACAAGUUUUGUCCUUGGCUGAUAGGCCUGGGUAAUCUUUGAACGUGAAUCGUGAUGGGGAUAGAUGAUUGCAAUUAUUCAUCUUCAACGAGGAAUUCCUAGUAAACGCAAGUCAUCAGCUUGCAUUGAUUACGUCCCUGCCCUUUGUACACACCGCCCGUCGCACCUACCGAUUGAAUGGUCCGGUGAAAUCUUCGGACCUGAGAGAUGUCUGAUUAAUUUCGGACGCCUUUUGGAAAAGUUGUUUAAACCUUACCAUUUAGAGGAAGGUGAAGUCGUAACA